GUGCGCCUGCCGGCCAGGAGGAGAAGGUAGGGGGCGGGGGCGAGCGGCGGGGGACGGCCAAAUUCCUCCCAGCGCAGGACUGAGGAGCUUGGAUUUGAUCCAUUGGGAGCUAGGGAGCCAUGGGAAGACCGCGAGAGACUAUCCCGAUGGGAUUUGUGUGUUUGGAAGAGCCUUGGGUGGAAACUAGGAAGACUGAUGCUCGUGUCCCAGUGUCUGGCAUUUAUUGAGCACCUAACCUACACCAGGCACUGUGCGGGUUCCUGAGGGGUCACAAUGCCUGCCAUCCUGGGCCACAAUGCUGAGAGGCAGAGAGAGACUUUCAAGAGACAGAGAGCAAGUAGGGGGAGCAGCAGGAAGAGAAAGAGGGAGAAGCCGGCUCCCUGCUGAGCAGAGGCUCUAUCCCAGGACUGCAAGAUCAUGACCCGAGCCAAAGGCAGACGCUCAACCAACUGAGCCACCCAAGAGUCCAUGAAUGUAUUUUUAUUGUGAAAUAAAGUGCAUACACACACAGAGUCUGAUCCAGGAACCCACACAAAACAAAUAUAUUGCCUCUGGAGGUACUGAAGAGGACAUUCCCAACCAGGGGUAAUUUUGUUCUUAGGGGACACCGAACAAUAUCUGGGAGACACUUUUGGAUUGUCAUGGGGGGGGGGGGAAGAGCUGUUAUUGUCAUCUAGUGGGUGGAGGUCAGGGAUGUUGCCAAACAUCCUGUGAUACACAAAGCACCCCCCCCCCCCAAGAAUGAUCUGGCCUGAAUGUCAAAAGAGCUGAGUUUGAGAAACCCAGCUCGCAGGUGAACAUCAUGAUAACCCCCACCCUGGUCCACAUGUAGCAUGUCAUCAGCAACCCCAGAAGUCCCUCCAUGCCCCACGUCCCGGUCCCAGUGACUCUUCUCUCCACAAAGUAACCAACUGUUGUGACUUUGAUAAUAAUCCCUGCUUUGUGUUUUUGAAUAGUCUGUCACCCAAGCAGGGUCUGCAAACAUGGUAGUUUUGUCUUGCACAUCCAAAAAGGAAAUGAUAUGUCUUUUAAGUCUCUUUUAAUUCGCAGUGUUCCCCGUCACCCCAUUCCUUCCCUUCCAAUAAAUCAAUCGCUUAACUCA
Mustela lutreola (European mink) is the source of this 1102-nucleotide long non-coding RNA. RefSeq lists it as uncharacterized. The record is from RefSeq and is a predicted model, not a curated record. The transcript has 3 exons. NCBI's taxonomy places the organism in Eukaryota, Metazoa, Chordata, Mammalia, Carnivora, Mustelidae.